This 216-nucleotide ribosomal RNA is filed under the name Glomeromycotina sp. RNAcentral describes it as "partial small subunit ribosomal RNA". The stretch from base 40 to 216 matches the Rfam family "Eukaryotic small subunit ribosomal RNA", at positions 686 to 864 of the family's 1831-position model. Lineage: Eukaryota; Fungi; Glomeromycota. The record is from RNAcentral.
GGGUCAUUAGGUUGGUCGUGCCACCGGUACGUACUGGUCUCACUGAUUCCUCCUUCCUGAAGAACCGUAAUGCCAUUAAUUUGGUGUUGCGGGGAAACAGGACUGUUACUUUGAAAAAAUUAGAGUGUUUAAAGCAAGCUAACGCUUGAAUACAUUAGCAUGGAAUAAUGAAAUAGGACGAUCGAUCCUAUUUUGUUGGUUUCUAGGAUUGACGCA